This is a long non-coding RNA of Capsicum annuum, 802 nucleotides long. RefSeq lists it as uncharacterized. The record is from RefSeq and is a predicted model, not a curated record. Lineage: Eukaryota; Viridiplantae; Streptophyta; Magnoliopsida; Solanales; Solanaceae. The transcript is spliced from 5 exons.
ACAAAGUGACACCAACUUACAAGGACAAAUACGUAAUCAUCCUCUGUUUUUUGCCGUUGCAUUGGGUCUACUGGCUGAGAUCAUAAACUCAAGGCUUUUCACAACAGUUAGGGACUCUCUGGGACUGACAUGAUGUUUCAUUCGAACUUAACCUCUUUGACCGGUUGAAGCUUGGGUGGUAUGUAAUCUCAGUGACUUCAACCCCUGGAAAGGUGCACAAAGCUGUUGAUGCUUGCAAGAAUGUCCUAAGAGGUCUACAUAGCAACAGGAUUGUACCGAGGGAAUUAGACCGGGCAAGACGAACACUGCUUAUGCGACAUGAAGCCGAGAUCAAGUCAAAUGCCUAUUGGCUUGGAUUGUUGUCUCAUUUACAAGCCCCUCUGUACCUAGGAAGGUAUUGCUUUGUUCUUGGUGUAUUGUUCUCACUAUUUUAUCCAUGACCAAAGAGACAUCACAUAGAAGCAGCCCAUAAGUUUUGCAGUUUUAUUAUUUAGCUACAUUAUUCUUUGAGCUUUAACUUCUAUCUUUGUUUUGUUUGUUAUCAUGACAUAUCUUGCAUCAAAGAUCUCACUUUGUUGUAUGAAACUGCCACCAUUGAAGACGCAUAUGUUGCCUAUGAGCAGUUGAAGAUAGAUGAGAACUCUCUGUAUUCUUGCAUUGGUGUUGCUGGGGCUCAGGCUGGAGAAGAUGUUUCUGCCUCAUUAGAAGUGGAAGAAAUAGAUGAGGGCCUUCAAGGUGUUGUUCCCAUGGGACGAGGAUCAUCUACUGUGACGCGUCCAACUACAUGAGUCAUUAGCAAAAA